GUUGGAACUCCAGAGACUGAUGUCACUGAAACCUCCUUUGGAGGUAAGCGUGUGGUAGGUAAUGGUGUUUCAACAAUUGUUGGUGUUCCUGUUCCUUCAACAAAUAGUGUUGGAACAAUAGUUGGUUCAAUUUUGGACUCUGGAAAAGAAACAUUGGAAAUUAAUGGUUAGAAAGCAAACGGCAGCAUCCCGUAAGAAAACCUGAUUAUGUAUGAAAAAAAAUGUGUAUUCAAUACAAUGUUUGCUUAAUUCAGUGUAAAAGUUGUGUACAUGUACCUGUCGUAACCUGAGCUACCAGUGGCUUAGAGGGCUUUUUCUUUCUGUAGCCAGUCAAUUUGACUGUGUAUUCUGCAUUUUCAGUCAAUUCUGUAAGAUCAACUGUUGAUAGAUGACCAGGUAAAGUUUUCUCCAAUGCUUUUUCAGGGCUGUCAGUGGGCUUGUAUUGCACAAUGAAGCGGUCAAAGACUUUUGGAUCGACCACCCAUGACACUUUCAUGCUAUUGGUAGUGAUGUCGGAAAUGACAAGUUCAUCGGCAGAAUCAGUUGGAACUCCAGA
Non-coding RNA from Petromyzon marinus (sea lamprey), 556 nucleotides. The record is from RefSeq and is a predicted model, not a curated record. Lineage: Eukaryota; Metazoa; Chordata; Hyperoartia; Petromyzontiformes; Petromyzontidae.